This 468-nucleotide ribosomal RNA is filed under the name uncultured bacterium. RNAcentral describes it as "partial 16S ribosomal RNA". It matches the Rfam family "Bacterial small subunit ribosomal RNA", at positions 28 to 507 of the family's 1533-position model. The record is from RNAcentral.
GACGAACGCUGGCGGCGUGCUUAACACAUGCCAGUCGAACGGAAAGGCCCUGCUUUUGUGGGGUGCUGGAGUGGCGAACGGGUGAGUAACACGUGAGUAACCUGCCCUUGACUUUGGGAUAACUUCAGGAAACUGGGGCUAAUACCGGAUAGGAGCUCCUGCUGCAUGGUGGGGGUUGGAAAGUUUCGGCGGUUGGGGAUGGACUCGCGGCUUGUCAGCUUGUUGGUGGGGUAGUGGCUUACCAAGGCUUUGACGGGUAGCCGGCCUGAGAGGGUGACCGGCCACAUUGGGACUGAGAUACGGCCCAGACUCCUACGGGAGGCAGCAGUGGGGAAUAUUGCACAAUGGGCGGACGCCUGAUGCAGCAACGCCGCGUGCGGGAUGACGGCCUUCUGGUUGUAAACCGCUUUCGCCUGUGACGAAGCGUGAGUGACGGUAAUGGGUAAAGAAGCACCGGCUAACUACGUG